This is a non-coding RNA of Cyanistes caeruleus (blue tit), 2123 nucleotides long. Lineage: Eukaryota; Metazoa; Chordata; Aves; Passeriformes; Paridae. The record is from RefSeq and is a predicted model, not a curated record.
CGGGCCCAGAAUAGCAGCGCUGCCGCGCAGAUAGCAUGGAGCGGCUCCGUGGCCCCGCCGCGUCCCAGGUGGCGCUGCUGGAUGCUGUUACAUGCCCUGAGGAGGAAGGGUUUUCGAAGGCUGUAUGCCCCAGGGAGGAGGAAGAAGAGGAGGAGAAAUACAGGAGACCUGUCACCUUCACACUGGGAAAUGAGAUACUGGGGCUGGGCCCAGAGAGAGAGUUUCAGAACCCUGAUGCUGAGGUUUAUAUGCACUUCUUGAGGAGCCACUGCUGUUACGAUGCCAUCCCCACCAGCUGCAAACUCGUUGUCUUUGACAUCUCCCUAGAGCAGAUCAAGAAAGCCUUUUUGGCACUGGUGGCCAACGGGGUGCGUGCUGCCCCUCUCUGGGACAGCAAGACGCAGAGCUUUGUGGGUGAGUGCCAGAAGCAAUGCCUGGUCCCCUCCCCUGCCUGGCAGAGGAGGGUACAGGCAGUGCUGCCAGCCCCACAUAUCUCCACAGGGAUGCUCACUAUCACUGACUUCAUCAACAUCCUCCACCGCUACUACCGCUCACCUUUGGUUCAGAUCUACGAGGUGGAGGAGCAUAAGAUUGAGACCUGGAGAGAAGUGUACCUGCAGGGCUCCCUCAAGCCACUGGUCUACAUCUCUCCGAGCAAUAGCCUCUUCAAUGCUGUCUACUCCCUGAUCAAGCACAAAAUCCACCGCCUGCCUGUCAUUGAGCCUGUCUCGGGCAAUGUCCUGCACAUCCUGACGCACAAGCGCAUCCUCAAGUUUCUCCACAUCUUUGAUUCUACCAUUCCCAAGCCACGCUUCCUGAAGAAAACAGUGCAGGAACUGUGCAUUGGCACCUUCCAUGAUCUGGCUGUCGUGCCUGAGACUGCCCCAGUCUACACCGCCUUGGAGAUUUUUGUGGAUCGUCGUGUCUCUGCCUUGCCUGUCAUCAAUGAUGCUGGGCAAGUAGUUGGCCUGUACUCGCGGUUUGAUGUCAUUGUGAGUACCCUGCAUGUGUGCAUGCCCAGGCUCAACUUUGGCCCCUUGCAUGCACUGGUGGGGCACUCAUACCUGUCUGUGCCCAUGCAAACCCACCUCACAUGCAGUGUGAUGCAUGUGCCAGUGCACAUCUGCUCUGUGCAUCUCCUGGGCUCAUUGUCCCUUGUAUGUUGGCACAAUGGGGUGCAAGGACACCUUGGGACUCUGGAUGUGGUCACAUCACAGCACCUGGCAGCCCAAAAGAGCUACAACAACCUGGACAUCAGUGUGAGGGAGGCACUGCAGCAGCGCAGCGUCGCCCUGGAGGGGGUCCUCACCUGCUACCCCCACGAACCUAUGGAGGACAUAAUUGACCGCAUUGCCAAGGAGCAGGUCCAUCGCCUGGUUCUGGUGGAUGAGAACCGGCACCCACGAGGCAUCAUCUCCCUCUCUGACAUCCUGCAGGCCCUUGUGCUCACUCCUGCAGGUAUCGAUGCUCUUAACUCUUAGCCCACGGUGCUCCAUCUUUCUCCACUUGCACCCUCAAUUUUUCUCCACUUCAGGCAUCGAUCGAUCCUCACUCUGAAGACAACAGGGAAAUGCCACUGUCUUGUCUGACUCAGGGAUCUCUGCGUGAUCUGUGAGAAGGAGGCUUGGGCCUGAAGGCUCUCUGUGGGAGGACAUGCCUGUUCACUCCAGUCCUCGGGCUCGUCUUGAGUCCAGGGCUAGAUCCUGCCAGUCUUGGAGAGGCAGAAACACUGAAAAUGGGACCCAGGGGUGCCUCCUGCCAGUGAGCACACAGAGAUGCUCAGUGGGCACUGUGCUGGAGGGGCUGCAACAUGCCUGCAGCUGGGCAGAGACCCAUAUAGCCCCAGUGGACCUGACCACCCCUCUGCCAUCCUGCUGAUGGAUUUGAACGUUUCUGUUGUGGCUCCCUCCUAGUGAACACAGUCCCGCUGUCUGUGCCCGGUGCCUGGUAGCGUAGGCUCAGCUGCACACACAGGCUUUUUUAUUUUGGGGUCACAUGGGGCUGGAGCUCUCUGGCAGAGGCACAGUCUGUGCCAGAGCUGGCAGCAGAACGGGCACUUGCAUAGAGACCCUGUGCACAUUUUGGGGUGGGCAGGGGGUAUUUAUUUAUUUGUUAGUCUGUUC